AAAUUGAAGAGUUUGAUCAUGGCUCAGAUUGAACGCUGGCGGCAGGCCUAACACAUGCAAGUCGAACGGUAACAGGAAGCAGCUUGCUGCUUUGCUGACGAGUGGCGGACGGGUGAGUAAUGUCUGGGAAACUGCCCGAUGGAGGGGGAUAACUACUGGAAACGGUAGCUAAUACCGCAUAAUGUCGCAAGACCAAAGAGGGGGACCUUCGGGCCUCUUGCCAUCGGAUGUGCCCAGAUGGGAUUAGCUUGUUGGUGAGGUAACGGCUCACCAAGGCGACGAUCCCUAGCUGGUCUGAGAGGAUGACCAGCCACACUGGAACUGAGACACGGUCCAGACUCCUACGGGAGGCAGCAGUGGGGAAUAUUGCACAAUGGGCGCAAGCCUGAUGCAGCCAUGCCGCGUGUAUGAAGAAGGCCUUCGGGUUGUAAAGUACUUUCAGCGGGGAGGAAGGUGUUGUGGUUAAUAACC
This 471-nucleotide ribosomal RNA is filed under the name Citrobacter amalonaticus. RNAcentral describes it as "bacterial SSU rRNA". It matches the Rfam family "Bacterial small subunit ribosomal RNA", at positions 1 to 468 of the family's 1533-position model. The record is from RNAcentral. Lineage: Bacteria; Pseudomonadati; Pseudomonadota; Gammaproteobacteria; Enterobacterales; Enterobacteriaceae.